Molecule: transfer RNA, 73 nt
Filed under: Cavia porcellus (domestic guinea pig)
Lineage: Eukaryota; Metazoa; Chordata; Mammalia; Rodentia; Caviidae
Rfam family: tRNA
About the family: Transfer RNA (tRNA) molecules are approximately 80 nucleotides in length. Their secondary structure includes four short double-helical elements and three loops (D, anti-codon, and T loops).
Source: Rfam by way of RNAcentral
GGGGAUUUAGCUCAGUGGCAUGAGUGCCUGCCUUGCAAGUGUGCAGUUGUGAGUUCAAUUCCUGUACCCCCCA